GGAGCACAACGUCGAAAGCAGCCGUUGGGAGCCCAGGAGGCGGGGCGCCUGUGGGAGCCGUGGAGGGAACUUUCCCAGUCCCCGAGGCGGAUCCGGUGUUGCAUCCUUGGAGCGAGCUGAGAGCUCGAGUACAGAACCUGCUAAGGCCAUCAAACCUAUUGAUCGGAAGUCAGUCCAUCAGAUUUGCUCUGGGCCGGUGGUACCGAGUCUAAGCACUGCGGUGAAGGAGUUAGUAGAAAACAGUCUGGAUGCUGGUGCCACUAAUAUUGAUCUAAAGCUUAAGGACUAUGGAGUGGAUCUCAUUGAAGUUUCAGGCAAUGGAUGUGGGGUAGAAGAAGAAAACUUCGAAGGCUUAAAAACGUGCCUGCUUCCCCUUCGCCUUCUGCCGUGAUUGUCAGUUUCCUGAGGCCUCCCCAGCCAUGCUUCCUGUACAGCCUGCAGAACUGUGAGUCAAUUAAACCUGUUUUCUUCA
Molecule: long non-coding RNA, 472 nt
Filed under: Homo sapiens (human)
Lineage: Eukaryota; Metazoa; Chordata; Mammalia; Primates; Hominidae
Source: RNAcentral